This 198-nucleotide ribosomal RNA is filed under the name uncultured bacterium. Its description in RNAcentral is "partial 16S ribosomal RNA". It matches the Rfam family "Bacterial small subunit ribosomal RNA", at positions 328 to 539 of the family's 1533-position model. The record is from RNAcentral.
ACGCUCGACACCUACUGGAGGCAGCAGUGGGGAAUAUUGCACAAUGGGGGAAACCCUGAUGCAGCAACGCCGCGUGAAGGAAGACGGUUUUCGGAUUGUAAACUUCUGUUCUUAGUGAAGAUAGUGACGGUAGCUAAGGAGCAAGCCACGGCUAACUACGUGCCAUCAGCCGCGGUAAUCUGAGCGGGCUGGCAAGGC